GGUGGGCGGCGUGCCAGAUACAUGCAAGUCGAGCGCGGGAAGCAGUAAAUUGUCCUUCGGGGCGGACGCUCGUGGAACGAGCGGCGGACGGGUGAGUAACACGUGGGCAACCUGCCUGUAAGACCGGAAUAACCCCGGGAAACCGGGGCUAAUGCCGGAUAACCCAACGGUUCUCCUGAACCGAUGGUAAAAGGAUGGCUUCUUGCUAUCGCUUACAGAUGGGCCCGCGGCGCAUUAGCUGGUUGGUGAGGUAACGGCUCACCAAGGCGACGAUGCGUAGCCGACCUGAGAGGGUGAUCGGCCACACUGGGACUGAGACACGGCCCAGACUCCUACGGGAGGCAGCAGUAGGGAAUCUUCCGCAAUGGACGAAAGUCUGACGGAGCAACGCCGCGUGAAUGAUGAAGGUCUUCGGAUCGUAAAAUUCUGUUGUGAGGGAAGAUC
RNAcentral lists this ribosomal RNA (444 nucleotides) under Salimicrobium jeotgali. RNAcentral's name for it is "bacterial SSU rRNA". It matches the Rfam family "Bacterial small subunit ribosomal RNA", at positions 35 to 450 of the family's 1533-position model. The record is from RNAcentral. Lineage: Bacteria; Bacillati; Bacillota; Bacilli; Caryophanales; Bacillaceae.